CAGUCGCCGCGGUAAUACGUAGGGUGCAAGCGUUAAUCGGAAUUACUGGGCGUAAAGCGUGCGCAGGCGGUUUGUUAAGACAGAUGUGAAAUCCCCGGGCUCAACCUGGGAACUGCAUUUGUGACUGGCAAGCUAGAGUACGGCAGAGGGGGGUGGAAUUCCGCGUGUAGCAGUGAAAUGCGUAGAUAUGCGGAGGAACACCGAUGGCGAAGGCAGCCCCCUGGGCCAAUACUGACGCUCAUGCACGAAAGCGUGGGGAGCAAACAGGAUUAGAUACCCCCGUAGUCCCUGUCUCUUAUAC
Molecule: ribosomal RNA, 301 nt
Filed under: uncultured bacterium
Lineage: Bacteria
Description: partial 16S ribosomal RNA
Rfam family: Bacterial small subunit ribosomal RNA
Source: RNAcentral